This 1622-nucleotide long non-coding RNA is filed under the name Homo sapiens (human). RNAcentral's name for it is "LHRI_LNC109.11". The record is from RNAcentral. Lineage: Eukaryota; Metazoa; Chordata; Mammalia; Primates; Hominidae.
UGCAUGACUUUUUACUGACUCAUUUGUCAAAACACUCUGACAUUAUCUAUGUAUGAUCAUUUUAGAGAUUGAGGAAAAUAAACUCAAGAACUGGUGACUUGCCCAGGUCACACUACUGGUGGGUAGCAAAACAGCAGCUAGAAUCUAUAGCUUCUGGCUUUCCAGCCAGUCCUUGUUCCACUACAUUCAUUACUUCUUUGCUGGACUGAAAAGCUUAGGACUUUUCCUGUAAGUAAUACGGAGCCAUUGAAGAUCUGAAGUUUCAAGGAAGUGGUAGGAUGGAUUCUCUUUUACUAUAAGAUGAGGAUGAGGAAGCGGAGGAUCAGAGCUUACGUGAUUGGCUCAGUAUCACACAGUACCACACAAUAAACGAUGAGGAGAUUCUGGCUCACAGAGGUGAAGUGAUCUGCUCAAGAUGAAAUAGCCAGCUGGUGAAAUUACUGAGACAAGCACUCAGAGGAAGGAAAUAUGGUUAUACUUUCCUUGCUAAGGAAAUCCAACCCUCCACAAGGCAGCUUUCUUCCCAUCCCCUUGACCUUUUAGGAAAAAGCCCUGUGCCCAUCCUGCUGUGAUUCAGGAGUCUCGCAGAAGACAUCAGAAUGCCUUUCUCUGAGUCACAGUCUGUAUCUUCUAGAAAAGGCUGUCCAUCUUCACCCCAAGCCCACUGGCUCCUGAGAUACGACAUCCAGACCCAGUGCAGCUGGACCUGGCCCAGGAAGAUCAUGCGGUUUCUGGGAAGCACUGGAGAAGGAAAAGGCUGAAGAAAGGAAGACCGGAAAAGAAAUACAAGUCCUUCCGCCUUGGCAAAGAUGAUAGUACCGUUCCCUUCAGUGUUCCGGUUCUGCUCUAUUGGAUAAGUUCCGGUUUGACUAUGACUACGUGAAAAUGUGGAACCAGACCUUCACCCCACAUUCCAGCUCCAGCUCUACCACAGAGGAAGUGCAAUAUCACCUUAGUUAUUCAACACAUUAUGCUCCUCGUGAUACAACCAGAGUUCACAUCAGCAAUCUUGGCAGCUCUCACCACGCUGCUGACUCACGACUCUCUCAUGUCCCAAUUUCCUGUCCAUUGUUCUUUCCUCUACUUGGCCUGAUUUCUAAAGGCCUCUCUUGGUUGCAUUAAGCGGGAUUCCUGAGGGAUUCCCUUGGCAGUUACCUUGGGGGAGCUCUUAGGUUUGGGGCUGAUCCAUGUCCUCUAAAUGUAGGACUUCAAAGCUCCCAAAGAUAGGCAGGCCCAGUGGGAAGCUGGGAAAUGCUCUCUGACCCCUCUGGGAGGGCUGGCAGUCAGAGGGCCUUUUGGAAAGAGUCAGACCUGAUCCAUAAGUCCCUGGAAAACACCCUGCCCAGGGAGCAAAUGCCACUGUGGCCUUGACUGAGGCUUCAGAAGAGUUUGGGAGCUGCAAUUCAUCCACACACGCAUUCAUUUUCAAGUAGUGGUUUGCAGUUCAGGCUUUGGAGCCACAUAAGCCUGGCUUCAAAGCCACUUUCCAGCUUUGUAGGAAGUCUCUACAUUUUUAAACCUCCAUUUUUUUUUCCUGUAAAACUGGGGUCUUCAUGGUACUUAACUUCAUCGUGAUGUUGAGAGAAUGAAAAGAAAAAGGAUAAAUAAAUGGCUUAGCCUCG